CGACAGACGACGGGGCAUGGUGGACGGCAACAUACGGUGAACGACAGCACAAAGUAGAGUCAACGACACUUGACGGCAGGCAGCGGUGGUACAAGCGGCGAAGAAGAAUCAAGGUUAACUUUUUCAAAUACUUUUCAUGUUUUUUCUAAAGAUUGUUGUGACCCAGUUGAAAUAUUCUACGUUGGAGUUUAUGAGUUGAGGAGAAGGAGUGACGAGAAAUGUAUCAGUGUGGAAGAGUCAGUAUUAAAGAAAUAAAAAUGCAGUAGGAAUAGAAAGAGGGAGAGCAAAAUAGGAUUUACUGGUUAUGGUUGUGAAAAGAAAAUUUGGGAGAAGGUGGGCUAUGAGAGGAGGGGAGGUUUACAGGAUUUUGAGAUUUAGGAAAAAUAAUUUUGAGAACUAGAAGAGUGAAUCAGAACUGGAUUUGGGGUUGAGAUGAAAGAAUAGGGUUUGUAUGAGAUAUAGAAGAUAAAGUGAAUAUUUGCAUAUAGGGAGUGACAUUAAUAAACAUAGAAAUCAACUCCAAGUCAACAAUUCUGUCAACAAUUAUUAUUAUUAAAU
Molecule: long non-coding RNA, 558 nt
Filed under: Vigna radiata
Lineage: Eukaryota; Viridiplantae; Streptophyta; Magnoliopsida; Fabales; Fabaceae
Description: long non-coding RNA (VRAD_LNC017610)
Source: RNAcentral